CGGGGUAUUGUAAGUGGCAG
Molecule: non-coding RNA, 20 nt
Filed under: Arabidopsis thaliana (thale cress)
Lineage: Eukaryota; Viridiplantae; Streptophyta; Magnoliopsida; Brassicales; Brassicaceae
Source: RNAcentral